This 572-nucleotide long non-coding RNA is filed under the name Mytilus galloprovincialis (Mediterranean mussel). The record is from RNAcentral. Lineage: Eukaryota; Metazoa; Mollusca; Bivalvia; Mytilida; Mytilidae.
AAACAAAUAUGGUGACUUGAAUCUUCACAAAAACACCAACACAGCAUAAAGAUAUUAUGUGUUGAAAGUGACCUAAUGUAACUUUAGAUCACUGUAUAAAGCAUUGGCUUUGUUUCUGUUUUAGCGACAGUUGAUCCUUCCACCUUUGCCGGAAGAGCACUUGCCUUUACAGUGGAUAUGCUAUGUGCGUACUGCAAGGCUAGAAACAACUAUAGAUGUCUUGUACAGUAUGGUUGUCAGAGGUAGACGAUAUACUGGCUUAUCUUAAAAUAUUUUGUAAAUAGUUCGUUAAUCGUAGAUACAAUUUAUCAAAAUUUUGCGACUUUGUUAUUAUUUGUACGUAGUGUGCCGUCGUGAUAAUGAUAUGUAAAGGUGGAUCGGGAAAGCUGUGUGGCUAAUCGGAUAAAUAUCCUCCUAUAGGUUCCAAGAAUCUCGAGAAGACAUACACGACAGGUCAUCGAAUUGUAGUCAACAAAGACCAAAACCCAUGCAUUAUAUUUAGCUAUGAAGCCAAUGGCCUAUUAUGUGUUCGGCUUUUUAAUUAUCAUCUGCUUGUUCAGUUUGGAUUAUGA